UCCCUCAGUAGCGGCGAGCGAACAGGGAUGAGCCCAGCGCCGAAUCCGCAGGUCUUCGGACUCUGUGGAAAUGUGGCGUGUGGGAGGCGUGGUGCCGUCGGCGAGUUUCCGGUGCGGUAAGUCCCCUCGAUCGGGGCAGAGGGAGAUCGCGUCUCUGUGUGAGACGCCCUCCCACCAGAGCGGGUGAUAGUCCCGUGUCCGCAUCGGGCGUCGUUUCGGAUCGCUCGCCUCCCCUGAGUCGGGUUGCUUGGAAGUGCAGCCCUAAGAAAGGUGGUAAAAUCCAUCUAAGGCUAAAUACGACUGCGAAACCGAUAGCGAACAAGUACCGUGAGGGAAAGUUGCAAAGAACUUUGAAGAGAGAGUUCAAGAGUGCGUGAAACUGCUCAGAGGGAAACGGGUGGGCGAAAGAAGCCCCCCGGUGGCGUAGUGACGGGACGGUUCCGUACCCGUUACAUUUCCGCGUCGCGUCGGUAAUGCCUCGGUGUUAUUCGAUUGGCGGUCGCGGCGGGACGUACUCCGUACCCAGAAACGCCCGUAGAGAGAUGGGGCGCCGUCGCCGGUUGGUUCACGGCGGUUUCGAGGCGUGGAUUGACGCGUCGCGGUUCUGAUCGGUGGGAAGCCUCGCUCACGCGUGGCCGCCGACUCAACUUGUCCGCGAGCGCCGCGUCGUCUGCGAUUCCGCGACCGACCGGAUGAUUGGAAUGCGUGGCGGAGGAGACAGCGUUGACGGUGAUUGUUCUACCCGGAUCGUCUUGUGACGCGGCGUCGUGUCGGCGACGGAGCUUUGAAGGGCGGCUUCGGCCGUGCUCCGUUUCGUCUGGCAGGCUCACGCGGGACGCGGGUCAGUGUGAAUAGAGCAAGUCAGAUCGUUACCCUCCGCUGUUACGACGGCGAGAUUAACUGUCGGAUGCCCACCCGACCCNNNNNNNNNNNNNGACCAAGGAGUCCGACUCGUGCGCGAGUCGAAGGGUCUUGAAUAGGCCCGAAGGCGAAGCGAAAGCGAACCCGUGACUCCGCGUUAGAGAUCGCGCGGAAGCAACGGGGACCCGGCAGUAUAUGAUCGGGCGAGCCGUGGCCGAGAGAAGCGGCCGGGCGGAUCGUGCUUGCACUUUCCGUUCCGGACGUAUUAGCGGUGCACGGUCGAGUUCCCGAUCUGUCGGAGUCUGGAGCGCACGGGUUGGUACCCGAAAGAUGGUGAACUAUGCUCAGCCCGGUUGAAGGCGCGGGAAACGGUGCCGGAGGACCCUAGGGGUUCUGACGUGCAAAUCGAUCCCGUGAGCCACGUAUAGGGGCGAAAGACUAAUCGAACCAUCUAGUAGCUGGUUCCCUCCGAAGUUUCCCGUAGGAUAGCCGGCGCUCGUGACAGAGCAGUCGCUCCUCGUAGAGCGAAUGAAUAGAGGCCCCGGGGGCCUCUGACGCCCUCGACCUAUUAUCAAACUGCAACGAGGUGCGUCGGAACGGUCUGGGA
This 1468-nucleotide ribosomal RNA is filed under the name Austrarchaea nodosa. RNAcentral's name for it is "eukaryotic LSU rRNA". It matches the Rfam family "Eukaryotic large subunit ribosomal RNA", at positions 76 to 1093 of the family's 3401-position model. Lineage: Eukaryota; Metazoa; Arthropoda; Arachnida; Araneae; Archaeidae. The record is from RNAcentral.